Long non-coding RNA from Bacillus rossius redtenbacheri, 2858 nucleotides. RefSeq lists it as uncharacterized. The transcript has 2 exons. The record is from RefSeq and is a predicted model, not a curated record. NCBI's taxonomy places the organism in Eukaryota, Metazoa, Arthropoda, Insecta, Phasmatodea, Bacillidae.
GAUGAUUGUAUUGUUAUUUAAUCUUGUAGGUAUAACUUUUUUAACGUAGUAAUGAAAAUGUUUUUUUUAGUUUUAACCAUUCGGAAAAAUAUGUUCUGUAAUGAAUUUAAGUGUGUUUUCAAGUAAUGUUAAAACUAGUCACAAAUUUAAGUGAACUCGUGCUGUGUCACUAGCAUUUUGUCAAGGUAUUAUUUAAUUACAUUUAAAUGUGUGUCAAGGUUGCAUCGUUUAAUUACAUUGCAAUGUGUGUCAAGGUUGCAACGACUCGUGUCUUCGUUUACGCGUCUGGUUAGCAGUGCAGUGAUUGCAUGUUAAUUCUUAUAAAUGAUAUCAACUAGGAUUAGCAGCUAUGGGGAACUUGAAUAGCUUCCAAACUAACACGGCUUGAAGUUGAGUUUUAUUUAUAAACAAUAACCUACCUCCCAGCGCAUGUCCAUUAAACAAAACUUUUGAAUUACAACACUAAGGAAAAAAAGCCAUAAAAUAUCCCUGAAAUUGUGUAUCCACUGGCAUGACCCAAAGUUUAUUCUGCAGUGUAGCUGCUUCUGGAAGAUAGGCACAAUUUAAAUAAUGUGAAAAGAGUGUCAAGCCUAGUUCACACAGCUAUCUUUCUUGAACAAGAAGGUGAACACCUCUUUGUUCAAGUCGACUUGCUACGUGUGACUGGCCAGUUUGUGUGCUAGUCGCAUGCAUGCAAGUACUUGCAUGCUAGCUAGAAUCAUUUAGAGACAAUUCUACUUUUCGUUCACCUUUUCAUGCAAGUCGUUUGUUUACAUCUGUGCUGUACACACCGAGAUAUUGAGUUGAAUGCUGGUUUUGUUUGCAAAGUUAUUUGUUUUGUGUUUUAAAUAUGAGCGACUGGAGUCGGGAAGCAGUAGAAAUGUUAAUAGAGUCGUACAGAAAGCAUGAGGUUCUGUAUAACAUUAAACUAGCAGCCUAUCAAAACAAAUAUCACUGUAAGAAUGUGCUUGAAGAAGUUACGAAUUAUGUGAAAUGUGUACGACCAAGUAUAACACCAGAAGAAGUAACGAAAAAGAUGAUAUCAUUACGAACUCAUUUUGCACAAGAAUUACAAAAGAAACGCAAUAGGAAAAGUGGAGCUGGAACAGACAGUUUGUAUGUUCCUUUUGUGUGGUGGUUUCCACUAAUGAAUUUUUUACAAGUUCACAUGCAGUGCAGAAAAGAAGAAAAUUCACUACCGUCAUCUUGGGCUAGUCAAGAAAUAAAUUUAGGAACUCCUGUGGUAGUAGAGAGGGACAUUUCGAGCCUGUUGCAAUCACUGCUCUUGAACUACGAACACUUUGUCGAAGACCUACCAGAAGUUGUACAAGAAGAAGUGGUUGAAAUGGAUGGACUAUCGGCUUCAGGAAUUAUGUGUCAGGCAAAUAAUGCAUCACCGAGUGCUUCUCUGUUGGUGUCAAGUGAAAGUUAUCAAGGGUCAAGAAAGAAAAAAAACACAGAACAAAUGAAACUGAACCAUUAUUAGAGAGAGCUCAGGGAAUUUUAGAAUCGGUAUCCUCAAGGUUAGGUACUAUUAGUGCAGAAAAAUCUGGCGAUUCGACAAAUGACUUCGGUAAAUAUUUGGCUUCGGAACUUUCUAAAAUUAAAAGCGAAAAAGUUGCUUUGCUUACAAAAUAGAAAUUGACUUUUAAUGGAAGCACGUAUGCAUGAUUUAUAUGAAACUUAAUGAAUUAUGUUAAAAAAUUUUCAUGUUAAUUAAUUGUAAUGUCAAUUUAGAACAGUAUCAAUUGAGUUCAGAUUGUUUAGUAUGAGGUAACUGCAAUCAAUAAAAUACACACAAACACAAGUUCUUUUCACUAUUUUUUCAUACAAGUUAUGAUCUAUAAUUAAAACUGUCAGUAUCUAUCCUUUGCUUUAAAUCAUUUUUAUGCGUACAUAUUUAAACAUGUUAUUGAAAUAAUUUUAAAUAAAGACACUGGAACAUGAUUUUCUAUUUGCUUCACCGGACAGUACAAUUAUUUAGGCAAAGAAACCUAAACUUAUUUGCAUUUAUGAAGAAAAUUCACAGACAAGUCAAUGAGAUAAGCUACUAAGUAAUGGUAGUUAAUUUCCAUAAAGUUUAAUUAAUGUAGGAAAAAUGCACACCCAAUCUAACACAAUUAAAACACAAAUUUGGUUUAUCUUAGGCAAUUAGGUAACAAUGAUUAUUUACAUGUUGCCAUUUCAUUUGAAACGGGGGAGAUUCAGGCAGGUAACAAUUCUUCUUGCACCAAAACAUCAUUAAAAAUUAAAAUUGUGUGUGCUAUUCCAUUGCCAUGGUACUGCACCUUCAUUAUUAAAGUAAUGACACAAAGUAUCUCUGAUUUGUAUGCAUUGUUGCUAGCUCUAUUGGCUCUGUGUAUGGCAACAGAUUUCAAAUACUGUUCUUUAAUGGAAACCCCACCAGUGAAAGUACUCCCAUCAGUGUCCUCAGUAUUUACCCCAUGUAAGUAAGGUCCCAUGUUUUCUUUAAUUAAGAAAUUGUGCAGAGCACAAGUAGCUAGUGUAAUACUUUGCACUUUUUCUACAGGAAGAUUUAUUUUGGUCAUUAGCACUCGAAAUCUGUUUGCAAGAAUACCGAAGGCAUUUUCGACAGUCUUUCUCGCCCUACUUAAGCGGUAAUUAAAUACCUUUUUAUCAUUGGAAGCACCUUUGGAACUGUAGGGUUACAUUAUAUGUUCGUGCAAUGCAAAAGCAUCAUCGGCAACAAGCACAUAUGGCACUUCAGUGGUCGUACUUGGUAAAUUGUGCUGUGAAGGUAAAUUUAGUGACUCGUUGAUUAACGAACUCAGAACACUAUUUCUAUACACACCCCCAUCACUAAUACGACCAUUGCACCCUACAUCAAAAAACAAAAA